GGAGGGUUGUCCGAGAGGUCGAAGGAGAUGGUCUCGAAAAUCAUUAUACCCUUACGGGUAUCUAGGGUUCAAAUCCCUAACCCUCCGCCA
Molecule: transfer RNA, 90 nt
Filed under: Enterococcus sp.
Lineage: Bacteria; Bacillati; Bacillota; Bacilli; Lactobacillales; Enterococcaceae
Description: tRNA-Ser
Rfam family: tRNA
About the family: Transfer RNA (tRNA) molecules are approximately 80 nucleotides in length. Their secondary structure includes four short double-helical elements and three loops (D, anti-codon, and T loops). Further hydrogen bonds mediate the characteristic L-shaped molecular structure. tRNAs have two regions of fundamental functional importance: the anti-codon, which is responsible for specific mRNA codon recognition, and the 3' end, to which the tRNAs corresponding amino acid is attached (by aminoacyl-tRNA synthetases). tRNAs cope with the degeneracy of the genetic code in two manners: having more than one tRNA (with a specific anti-codon) for a particular amino acid; and 'wobble' base-pairing, i.e. permitting non-standard base-pairing at the 3rd anti-codon position.
Source: RNAcentral